This 73-nucleotide transfer RNA is filed under the name Capra hircus (goat). It matches the Rfam family "tRNA". From Rfam's summary of the family: Transfer RNA (tRNA) molecules are approximately 80 nucleotides in length. Their secondary structure includes four short double-helical elements and three loops (D, anti-codon, and T loops). Further hydrogen bonds mediate the characteristic L-shaped molecular structure. tRNAs have two regions of fundamental functional importance: the anti-codon, which is responsible for specific mRNA codon recognition, and the 3' end, to which the tRNAs corresponding amino acid is attached (by aminoacyl-tRNA synthetases). tRNAs cope with the degeneracy of the genetic code in two manners: having more than one tRNA (with a specific anti-codon) for a particular amino acid; and 'wobble' base-pairing, i.e. permitting non-standard base-pairing at the 3rd anti-codon position. The record is from Rfam by way of RNAcentral. Lineage: Eukaryota; Metazoa; Chordata; Mammalia; Artiodactyla; Bovidae. RNAcentral also lists the same sequence under 1 other name.
UCCCUGAUGGUCCAGUGGCUAAAACUUUGCACUCCCAAUGCAGGGGUCCCAGGUUCAAUCCCUGGUCAGGGAA